AUGGAGCAGAACACGGCAACGAAACCCAUCAGAUGCAAAGGUGGCCGGGCAGCCGCUGGAGAUGGAGGAGGUGGAGGUGGCGCCGCCGCGGGCGAGGUCCGCAUCAGGAUUCUCUGCACCUCGCUCUGCCACACCGACGUCACCUUCUGGCGCUUGAAGGAUUUCCCGGGCCAGCAUCCGAUAAUCCUGGGCCAUGAAGCAGCCGGCGUGGUGGAGAGCGUGGGGGAGCACGUGCACGAGGUGGCCGUCGGGGACACGGUGGUGCCGGUGUUCUCGGCGCAGUGCGGCGACUGCCCCGACUGCCUCUCGGACCGCAGCAACAUCUGCUCCGGGCUCCCCGCCCGGCCCGGCAUGCCGCGCGACGGCACGACCCGCUUCUCGUUCGCCGCCACCGGCGAGCCCAUCCACAACUUCAUCGGCGUGUCCAGCUUCACCGAGUACACGGUCGUCGACGUCGCGCACGUCGUCAGGAUCGGGCCCGGCGUCCCGCCGGAAAAGGCCUGCCUGCUCAGCUGCGGCGUCUCCACCGGUGUCGGCGCGGCGUGGAAGGUGGCGGCGGUGGAGCCCGGGUCCAGCGUCGCCGUGUUCGGGCUCGGCGUCGUCGGGUUAGCGGUAGCACAAGGGUGCAGGAUGCGUGGGGCUAAGCAGAUUAUUGGAGUGGAUCUGAACCCGGAGAAGUGGGACAUCGGUAAGAGGCUGGGAAUCACCGACUUCGUCAAUCCGAACGAUAUCGGGGAGAAGGCCAUGAGCGAGGUCAUCAAGGAGAUGACCGGCGGCGGCGCCGACUACUGCUUCGAGUGCAUCGGGUCGACGUCGGUCAUGGCGGAGGCGUUCCAAAGCUCCCGGAAGGGCUGGGGGAAGACGGUCGUGCUCGGCGUCUCCAGCGGCGGCGCGCCGAUGAGCAUACCCCCGCACGACAUCCUCAUGGGGAGGUCGGUCGUCGGCUCGCUCUUCGGCGGGCUCAAGCCCAAGGCCGACAUCCCGAUCCUGGCGCAGAAGUACGUGGACAAGGAGCUGGAGUUGGACGAGUUCGUGACGCACGAGAUGGGGUUCCACGACAUUAACGCGGCGUUCGAGCUGCUCACCCAGGGGAAGUGCCUCAGGUGCAUCAUCUGGAUGGACGGGGCCAAGGCGAACGGCGUGGAGGCCCUCGAUAAUGGCCGCGCGUGCAAGGCGUGA
RNAcentral lists this ribosomal RNA (1179 nucleotides) under Triticum aestivum (bread wheat). RNAcentral describes it as "partial small subunit ribosomal RNA". The record is from RNAcentral. Lineage: Eukaryota; Viridiplantae; Streptophyta; Magnoliopsida; Poales; Poaceae.